UCCCUGACUUAAGAGAGCUUUCAAACAAGAUUAGAUAAAGCUAUGGAAAUUGAGUCAUUAGCCAGAGUUCUGUUUAAUAAUAUAAUACAAUAAAGACUAGUUUCUUUUGAUGCUGCCUAAAUUGUAGGCAGAGUUCUUGAAUGUACGCACCUACUUGAUCCUGCCCAUUUUUACUAUUAAAAGUUAGCUUCUUGGAUGAGGUUGAGUCCAGUAAGUAAUUAAAUGCUUCUUUAUGACUGGGUUGGUCUCACCUGCUUUGAAAGUGCCUCUGUAAGAAAUACAUUUUGCAUCCAAGGGAUCUUUGGCAAGUGGUGGCAGCUACAUUCCAGAUGGCUUGGGUGAAACAGUUUAUAGGGUCAAUUUCAGAAAGCAGCAUUGGAAUAAAUUCUUCUUGGCCCCAUGAUACCUGUCCUGGUGAGUACCACAAGACUCUUUCUGUUUUCCAUACUCUUCUGCAUCUUCCAUUUUCUUUAACAUCUUUAUCAAUGGUUCUCACUGUAUUGAGGGAGGGAAUACUUGAUAUGUAGUUGGAUAUCAAAUUAAACUUAAGAUCCACAACAGAGUUACUACACUACACUGUUAAAAAGUUGCUAUCCCACUUUAAGUUGCUACCUCUCUUUGUCUAAGAAUUUUGAAGAACCUUCUCUAAACUGACCUACUGUAUAUACUCGAGUAUAAGCCAACCCGAAUAUAAGCCGAGGCACCUAAUUUUACCACAAAAACCUGGGAUAACUUAUUGACUCGAGUAUAAGCCGAGGGUGGGAAAUGCAGCAGCUACGGGUAAAUUUUAAAAUAAAAAUAGAUACCAAUAAAAUUUCAUUAAUCAAGGCAUCAGUAGGUUGAAUAUUUACUAUCUUUCAAAGAAAAACAAUAAACUAGCUCUAUAAGUGGAAAGGUAGGGGCAACAAAAACAAUAUGAUAUCAACAAUAACCUAAUAAUAAUAAUAAUAAUAAUAAUAAUAAUAAUAAUAAUAAUAAUAAAAACUUCAUUUGGAUCCCACCCUAUCUCCCCAUGGGGACUCAGGCCAGCUUCCAACAUAGUAACAGGCAAACAUUAAAUGCUUAUAUAAACAAUGCAGAGCUAGAUAUAGAUCUAUAAUUAUAGAUACUAAUUUCACAUAUGCAUUUCCCCAGAAACGUUUGCAAAUCCCUCUGUGAGUGUGUGUGCAUUUCCCCUACAAUAUUUGCAAGCCAAAUAUAUAUAUAUACACACACACACACACACACACACACACAUAUAUCUAUCUAGAUAUGUCUAUAUAUAUUUGUGUGUUCAUUUCCCCCCUGUAAUAUUUCCAAGCCCUAUAUAUAGGUAGGUAAGAAUAUAUUCAUAUCUAUCC
This 1340-nucleotide long non-coding RNA is filed under the name Anolis carolinensis (green anole). Its description in RNAcentral is "lncRNA (ENSACAG00000034753.1)". The record is from RNAcentral. Lineage: Eukaryota; Metazoa; Chordata; Lepidosauria; Squamata; Anolidae.